RNAcentral lists this ribosomal RNA (467 nucleotides) under uncultured bacterium. RNAcentral's name for it is "partial 16S ribosomal RNA". It matches the Rfam family "Bacterial small subunit ribosomal RNA", at positions 28 to 506 of the family's 1533-position model. The record is from RNAcentral.
GACGAACGCUGGCGGCGUGCUUAACACAUGCAAGUCGAACGGAAAGGCCCUGCUUUUGUUGGGUUCUCGAGUGGCGAACGGGGGAGUAACACGUGAGUAACCUGCCCUUGACUUUGUGAUAACUUCAGGAAACUGGGGCGAAUACCGGAUAGGAGCUCCUGCUGCAUGGUGUGGGUUGGAAAGUGUCGGCUGUUGGGGAUGGACUCGCGGCUUAUCAGCUUGUUGGUGGGGUUGGGGCUUACCCAGGCUUUGACGGGUAGCCGGCCUGGGAGGGUGACCGGCCACAUUGGGACUGAGAUACGGGCCAGACGCAUACGGGAGGCAGGAGUGGGGAAUAUUGCAAAAUGGGCGGAAGCAGGAUGGAGGAACGCCGCGUGCGGGAUGACGGUUUUCGGGUUGUAACAAGCUUUCGACUGUGACGAAGCGUGAGGGACGGUAAUGGGUAAAGAAGCACCGGCUAACUACGG